Oryzias latipes (Japanese medaka) is the source of this 2927-nucleotide non-coding RNA. The record is from RefSeq and is a predicted model, not a curated record. Lineage: Eukaryota; Metazoa; Chordata; Actinopteri; Beloniformes; Adrianichthyidae.
GGAGAGGGAGGGAUGAAGAUGUAGUAGAGGAAGGGGGAUUGUAGCUGCUCUUGCUCUCCUCUCUGUAUGUCUGGAGUAAGCCAAGCUUUUAUGGACACAGAAACAGUUUAAGUGAAAUCCUUGAAGUAAGGAGAGAAUUUUUAGGAUUUUUCAGAUUUUCUGUUUUUUAGGGGCAACUGAUUUCAAUAUGUUGGAUGUGGAAUCAACAGGCAGAAUCUCCUGACCUCUGAUGAGGAAGCUUUGUGUUUACGUCCAAGGACUUAAUGGGACUUGUGUGACUGGACUUCUCUCCCACUUAUCUUAAUGCUUUUCCUUUCUUUUUUUUGCUUUUUUCUUUUCCUCCUGAACUUCAGAUUUUUCAUCACCUCUGCUUAACACGUGAACAAUUUCCAAGGUAACUUUUUUUUUUCUACAUAUAAACCAUACCAGGACCUGUGAGCAUGCUUACACAACUGCUCUAAAGUCUUAGUUAAUUUUGUCUGAAUGCAAGGAAUCACUGUUGACACAUUUUUUCCCCUCCACUGACUCUGUUUUCCAAAUUAGUUCACCUGCUUCUCAGCAGCUGUCUUUAUUUUUAAGGCACAGGUGACAGAAAAACAAGAGAAAGAGCAGAUGGCGCAGACAGAAGGACUAACGAUGCUGGGAAAUGUGAAAUCUAAAGACAAUUUGGGGGCAAAAGCCAUGGCUGGGUGCCCUACAGCUGGGGGAGGAGUGGUGGUGGAGGUCAGGGAGAAGAAAGGAUCUUUAAGGGCUGCAAUACCAACAAUGCCUUUUCCUCUGGCUGUCAUCUGUCUUUUCCUAAACACCUUCAUACCUGGACUUGGUACUUUCCUCUCUGCGUUUACAGUGCUGUGUGGGGCUCGCAGUGAGCUGAUCUCCGAGCGAGGGGUUUGCUGUGUGUUCUGGCUCAACGUGGCUGCAGCCCUCAUCCAGAUAGUGACGGCUGUUAUCAUGGUGGGCUGGAUCAUGAGCAUCUUCUGGGGCAUGGACAUGGUCAUCUUGGCAAUUUCAGAUGGGUUCUAAAUGGCAAAAAUGAAACCUGCAGUCCCAAAACAACUGGAGUUUACUACAGCCAACUUUAGUUCUGGAAACUGGGUGCAGAGAUCAGGGCGCUCCUCAAGACGUCUGAGAGAAGUCCUUCUGCUGUUCACCGAUGGAUCCAAUGAACUGUUUAAUCUGUUUAGUCACACGAAUACCCGAUUGAAACUUUUACUUUAUCAUUACACAGCUAUAUGACAGAAGCAAUUGAAAAACAAGAAUCACAUGGCUGCACUUUAAGAAAAUGUUCAGGCUGCUACAUUCUCCUUUGUAUAUUUAGAACCCAAAAAACAUUGAGCGGAGAAGUAAAGUAACAACAAACAUGGAUUUUUUUGUUGUUGUUACUCCUUCUAAAACCUUCCAAUAUUUCUCUUGAGCUGUAAAUAUUUCAUUUUUAUUUUUUGCAUGGAUUUGUGGCAAACCUUCAAUAUUAUUUAUCAAAGUAUUUGAACAAGUUCGCAUUUUAAUAAAAAAGUUUUUCUUUUGCAGGUGUUUUCCCCCCCAGUUUUGCGACUAAAACAGUAUUUUUUACUAUUAUUAAACCUAAAUGUGCUAGAAGCCAUUAUCAUCACUGUAGAUGCUUGCCUUCAUCCAGUCUAACAGUGCAGUAUUAAAAUGACAUGAGCGUCAUCUGUCAUAUUGUGACAUUUCCUUUUAUAUUUGUUUUACUGACUCCAUGGUACUUCUCUUAAAGUAUCUUGUGUUUUUACUGCUGAAAGUUCUUAUAUAAGUUGCUAUAAAAGCUUAAAUAUCAAACAGUGUUUCAUAUGAAGAUUUGCAUUGAACAACAAUGCAAUAACAAUAAUAAAUUCUUCCUAAAACAAUGACUCACGCCAGCAGAAAGUUUUUCAAUUAUAAAAAAAAAAAGAAAAUCUGUGUAAAAAGGAGCUAAAAAGAUAUCACACAGUUUUGGAGUUUCAAAUCUAAUUAACGGGUCUAAAAAUAUCAUCUCGCUCGGCUUGGCAGAGCGGUCACAACCCUGUCUGUCAGACUGCAGAUAAAAAGCGUAGACAUGGAUGAGUUACUCAAGUCUUCAACUGAAGUUUGAACUGCGGCUUGAAUUAAAAAGAGCAUUUUGGUAUUUAAAAAUCUAACUCUCAUUAUAUGUGUGGAUACAGAUGAACUCAUCAGGACGACUGAGGGCUAAACAGUAUUUAAAUACGUUAGUGUUGGGCUGAAAUGGGGAGAAAUGCAAACAUCUACUUGAAGGGCUUUCCCAUGAUUCCCAAUCCUGGUUUCUCGUUCACAAUGCAUUGACGUCUAUCCUCUAGUAAAGAUCAUAAAUCUUAAAAAAAAGAAGAAAGAUUUUACAGACUUCAAUCACAAAGGCUGGAAGCAAAUAUGAACAAUUUACAAUAAACGUGUUUGUUCUUCUGCCCGCUGGUAUGCAUCAAGGUACAACUUUACAGCUGAAGUAAAUGUAGUAGAGCUUUCAUAAACAUACUUUAUUUAGGCAGUGCGUGUAACUUAGCAGGUAAAAGCUCAUUUUUUGAUCUUCUUGGCUGCAAAACUGAGAUCCAAGCGUGUGAAUAUAAAGGUUAAUCAUUCAUGAGAAAAAUGUCUGUGCCUUUAAUGAAAUCACUUGUAAAUACGUCCGUCAGUGAUGUCACCUUAACUUUUAUUCUUCUUCAUCUUCUGUGGUGCUGUUGGUGUUACUCAGCCGUGCUCUUAUUUUUAUUGGAGUUCAUUUUCAGUAAUACUUCUCUUGUAAACUUCAGUAAAAAUCUUGUUUUUACUGUUUCUGUGUGGAGCCUGUAUAAUGUUUGAGAAGGAAAAUUAAUAUGUCUGUAAUGUUAUGUGAUUUUUAUUGUAAUAAAAUAAACAGUGCAGUGGUUUUAUGCUUUAAGACUCCUAAAAGUAAUUAAUAAAAUCAUCAAAAAGAUGGAAAA